AAAGUAUUUGUCUGAAUCUAAAAUCAAGAAUUAAAACUUUCAACAAAGGAUCUCUUGGCUCUCGCAUCGAUGAAGAACGCAGCGAAGCGCGAAAUGUAGUGUGAAUCGCAGAACAUUGUGAAUCAUCGAAUCUUUGAACGCACAUUGCGCCUCCCGUUACUGGGAGGCAUGCCUGUCUGAGCGUCAUUUAAAACGUAGCACCCCACCAAGGGUCUGUCUUGGGCCUCGCCUGUGGGCGUAGCCUCAAAGUCAUCGGUCUAAAGAGCGGACGAGAUCCAUUGGGACAGACCGUUCUGCGACCUUAAAUCUCCGACUUGACCUCAGAUCAGGUAGGGCUACCG
RNAcentral lists this ribosomal RNA (341 nucleotides) under uncultured fungus. RNAcentral's name for it is "eukaryotic LSU rRNA". The stretch from base 35 to 186 matches the Rfam family "5.8S ribosomal RNA". Lineage: Eukaryota; Fungi. The record is from RNAcentral.